Molecule: ribosomal RNA, 277 nt
Filed under: uncultured bacterium
Lineage: Bacteria
Description: partial 16S ribosomal RNA
Rfam family: Bacterial small subunit ribosomal RNA
Source: RNAcentral
AUUGAACGCUGGCGGCAUGCUUUACACAUGCAAGUCGAACGGCAGCGCGGGCUUCGGCCUGGCGGCGAGUGGCGAACGGGUGAGUAAUAUAUCGGAACGUGCCCAAGAGUGGGGGAUAACGUAGCGAAAGUUACGCUAAUACCGCAUACGAUCCAAGGAUGAAAGCAGGGGACCUUCGGGCCUUGUGCUCCUGGAGCGGCCGAUAUCUGAUUAGCUAGUUGGUGAGGUAAAGGCUCACCAAGGCGACGAUCAGUAGCUGGUCUGAGAGGACGACCAG